This 253-nucleotide ribosomal RNA is filed under the name uncultured prokaryote. RNAcentral's name for it is "partial 16S ribosomal RNA". It matches the Rfam family "Bacterial small subunit ribosomal RNA", at positions 524 to 776 of the family's 1533-position model. The record is from RNAcentral.
UACAGAGGGUGCAAGCGUUAAUCGGAAUUACUGGGCGUAAAGCGAGCGUAGGUGGCUUGAUAAGUCAGAUGUGAAAUCCCCGGGCUUAACCUGGGAACUGCAUCUGAUACUGUUAGGCUAGAAUAGGUGAGAGGAAGGUAGAAUUCCAGGUGUAGCGGUGAAAUGCGUAGAGAUCUGGAGGAAUACCGAUGGCGAAGGCAGCCUUCUGGCAUCAUAUUGACACUGAGGCUCGAAAGCGUGGGUAGCAAACAGG